This 1332-nucleotide long non-coding RNA is filed under the name Triticum aestivum (bread wheat). RNAcentral's name for it is "long non-coding RNA (TAES_LNC000713)". Lineage: Eukaryota; Viridiplantae; Streptophyta; Magnoliopsida; Poales; Poaceae. The record is from RNAcentral.
UUCGAUCACAUAACUACACAGUACCCACCUCUUAGUUCGCCUAGAUAUCCCACUACGAUUCUCUCCUCUAUCGAUGGUUUUCCAUCGGGAUUGUCGUUGGUUCCUGACCUACUGUGCUUGUAGGGACCGGCAUUGGUGAUGGACAUGGUGGAGAUGACGUGUUAGAAGAUGUGAAAUGGUUGUUUGUUGAGACAUGCUAGUAUGAUGUGAUGACUGAAGGUGAUGUUACAUUAUCUCCUAUAUGUGUCCAUCGGGGAUAUCUAUGCUAUUUUACAAUUUACUGGUUAUUGCUGCAUGGGCUUUGACUGGCGAUUUUUCUUAUGAAAUUAUUAACUCCAGUAAUUUGUAAGGCAUCCACCAUUUGGCCUAAGUAAUUGAAAAUUAUAUACAUCAGAAACUAAGUAAUUCAGAACCCUAACUAGUACAGUUUCUGUUAGCACAUUGGUAAGUAAUAACUGAUAGGUAUCUCUAGUCGAGCCAGAUAUUGCUUUUGUUCUAUAUGCAGUCAAUUUCUCUACCUGAUCACUAGUUUAUACUAUAUUGCACAAGAUGAAAGUCACAUGACUAGGUUCAUAAAUAAACGAUAUUUCCAGGUUACAUAAAUUUGUAAUUUUGUAUGGCAUUAUUAUAUACUCCUUUCGUUCACAAAUAUAAGAUGUUCUAACUUUUUUGUGACUCGGAUGUAUAUAAACAUGUUUUAGUGUGUUUGUUCAUUCAUUUCAUUCCGUAUGUAGUACAUACUGAAAUAUCUAAAACAUCUUUUAUAUUUGUGAACGGUGGGAGUACUUGUUAACUCUUGACAGUAACAAAAAUAGCGGUCAAUGGCUCAUCUUUUCUGACUUCUAAUGCCAUGCAAAGUUUAAAACGGCAUCCAUUUUGGGCUGAAAGAAAUGUUGUUUUAUGAGUUGACAACGUAGUAUCUGCUGAUACUAGUUCUUGUGAGUAAUUCCAGUAUGCUUAUAACUAAGCUGAAUGUUUUUACUUUCUAUUAUUUUGCGCAAUGCAUGAUAUUUACAUUAUAUUGCACAUACCUUGAUGUUCUAGAGAGUUAAGUAUUUGCCCGUCCUGCAUUAAAGCACCAUGUAACCGAUUGGAUUGUUGUUUAUACAGGUAUGGCUAAGUUGGAGGAAUGGCUUAUCGGUGUAGGUUCUUCUAUUUUGUGUUUUCUGGUGUUGUGGCCAGUGAUGGUCCAUUCCAUCUGGAAAUUGAUCCGUUGUAGUACGCUUGCAUGAACAAACUGUUUUAACUUGUUAGCUCCCACUAUAUAUUUCUUCAGUGACCUCUGUAGACAGUAAGAAAAUUGGCAGUUCGGCACGGUGGGUGUGUGCCUUG